UUCAUCAUCCAUGUAUAGGUUCUGUGUUUUCAUCAUUAUUGUAUCACAAUUAUGUUGCAAAGUUGGCCUGUCCCUCACUGAUGAACUAACUUGUUUCGAGUCUUUCGACCCCAAUCACUAGGUUCGGUAAACAGCUAGCUCUAACUCAAAAGUCUUGUUUUGAUUGAGACCCCAGUCAGUAGGUUCGACAAGAUAAGCAGCUAGCUCUAACUCAAAAGUCCUGCAUAGAGGAGGAUCUAGGCAUGUAUGUACUACACAAACCCAAGCUUCUGAGUAAUCACAUCUGAACGGUUAUCAGUCUACACCACAAUAUUUUACCAUAAAUACGAGAACAUAAUAAGAGCCGAGGCUAUACACAAGUCUCUCAUCGUAUCCGAAAAAAUUUGUGCAGAUCCCUUUUUUUUCGUUUUUACACUAUACACAUCUUCUGCGAAGAGAUCACAUCUGCAAAUUUUUCUUUCAUUUUUCUGAUAGAAGGGAGAUUUAUAGGAGAGUGGCGUAUCCAUAGUAUUAAGCGAUGCACUUGAGAAAUCAAUGAUUAGACAAAUCAAAUGUGCAGGCCAAUUUAUCUGUUAGUUGCCAGUAGGGACACAUUCUACAAACCAAAGACUUGGCCGUCCUUGAGAUAAGGUUAGAAGGUUAGAACUCUAGUAGCGACAUGGUUCAUCACGUGGGGUUGGUCCCAUUUUUUUCGGAAUAAUGUCCUGACAGCAACUCAAUAUCCUGGCUUCUUCUGCUGCUGAUUAGGAAUGGCCAUGUCUGUCCACUAGAGGCCUUGCACGGAUGACCGUUUGACGUUUUAUGUGAAAGCAGUGGCGGAAUCAUAUUCCAGAUCAGGCAAGGCAAGAAGCUAAGUUUACGCAACUUCGUUACAGGAUGACCACAUACUAAGACGAGACGACAAGAUACUGCUACAGGGUGCCCCAUGUAUUCUUGUAUGGAGACAUGCAGAUGUAUGCAGAUAUGUCAAGACUCUUGAAACCAAUCCUUUUGAUAAAUAUCAGCAACAAUACAAACAGAGUAGGGCUGCUAUGUUUUUCAUUCUCAUACAUCAGAUGGUCCCAGACAUUAUGGAACCAAUAAUCUCCACCACAUAUCUCGAAUUUCGCUAGGUAUUUAAGCCCUCAGUCCCCUGCACAACCAUUCAAGCCACUUUGAAAAUUUUCAAGAGUUUUAAGUUUUAACAUUUGUUGAGGAAGUAGAAGCUGGUGCUAUGGCAGCAAAUUCUUUCUCGAUUGGAUGCGCCAAGGCUCGGUCAUGGGAGAGAUGUUCUAAGAGAAUCAAACAGCAGAGGGCUAGAGUUUAUAUCAUAUGGAGAUGCACUGUUUUGCUUAUGAACUGGCAUGAGUAAUUGCUGCUUCUGAUAUGCUAAUUUCUGGACAGAGUGAAAGAUUAAGCUGAGGCGCGGCGCUGCUCUUUCGGGCAGAGGUUCGCCCGGACUAUUCUGUUGGCGCUAGGGGUUGUCUUAAGUUACGAAAAUAAGUACUUAUUUCGGAGUAUAAGUCAUCAAAGAGCUAGCUCAGUGAACUUGCCUGCCUGCCAUUGUGUCAAACCAGUUCUAAACAGUUAUUGUUGCCAGUGAGUCUACUAUUCAGAUGUGAUCUAUGAAAUUGAAGGAGGCUUUUUGCUUAAGUUACAGACUGAUGUCGGAUAUACAUAGGUAUCAGAAUUAUAUCUAGUUUUGAGUAGAGAAACUACAUGUGUACUCUAGUUACUUUGAAGUUAGAAUAUAUUUGAAGCAAUGACUUAACUUCCUGUACACUCAGACUUGUUCUUGUUUUGCUCUGUUCCAUUGCAGAAGAACACUGUUGUAUAA
Long non-coding RNA from Daucus carota subsp. sativus, 1816 nucleotides. RefSeq lists it as uncharacterized. Lineage: Eukaryota; Viridiplantae; Streptophyta; Magnoliopsida; Apiales; Apiaceae. The transcript is spliced from 2 exons. The record is from RefSeq and is a predicted model, not a curated record.